RNAcentral lists this long non-coding RNA (1315 nucleotides) under Anser brachyrhynchus (Pink-footed goose). RNAcentral describes it as "lncRNA (ENSABRG00000004900.1)". Lineage: Eukaryota; Metazoa; Chordata; Aves; Anseriformes; Anatidae. The record is from RNAcentral.
UUAUUUAAAACAAAGCCACCUCGUGUAAAAGCCAAAGGCUUCAGCAGCAAAGCCAGGUCCCACUCACCUGCAGCAGACACAUGCAGUGGCAGCACUGUCCCAAACCGAAACCUGCAGCCCAUAAGACUUUUCCGGUCUCACAAAACUCCCCACACCAAACAGGGACAUUGUACUCCUUCCUGACCCUUUCCUCCCCCAAAUUUAACACCCCCUCAACGCGCUUUCACCCUUUUGCAAAACAGCCCUGAGGGCUCACAUCCGCCCCGGCGGCGCUGCCCAUGCUGCAGCUCCCCCCCCCUCCUACCGCCGGGCCGGGCCGGGCCGCUCCUCCGUGCCUUGCAGCAGCACCGGCUAAUCGCCAACACCUGCCUGAGAGGAGUUUUUGCUACGUUAGAGGAGCCCUGGCUCGAUGGCAGCCUUUUCACCCCUUCAACAGCUUCCCCGCAGCCCCCCUGCUCCUCCUGGCCACGCCACUUCCCUGCCCGGGAGCUGGGAGCUGUGAGGCAGUACUGGUCAGCAGUGGGGAGGAUGACAGCUUCCACAGCGGCCUGUUCCUCCCACCGUGUGUAGCACUGAUUCACCUUUUGGUAUUAAAAAGAAAAAUAUAAGCUGAUAAGCUAUCCCCAGGCAGCACUUUCAUGCUACCCAAGACAGCCUCUGUGGCUGCAGAGAUCCUUCAAUAAGCUGUCAAGAGCUGGCGUCCCUGUGUAAAGAGCUGUUCGUCCCUAUAUCUCAUUUUAGAUUGAUGUACGUGCCACUUUCAUAUCCUUCAGCUCAGCGUAACAUUUGCCCUUUCAUGUUCUCAGUUUAAGCCACUGGGAAUUGAAAGCUAUUUCAAAGCAUAAUUAUAGCAAUCUGCAUAUAAAAGGCUAUAUGUCCUACAGAGGAUUCUGCAGAAAAAAGCAAACUCCUCGAAAGAAGAAAAUUAGAAGUAAAUCCCACAACUUAGAUUCAGUAGUUAAUACAUUUUUCAUCUGAUGUGAACAGUCUGUGGAUUUGUAAAGCCAAUGGAAAAUUGUCUAAGCCACUGUACUGAAUCAGUCUUCACCUAUGAAACAACGUAGCUGUUACAAGGGGCCCACAUCUUCAAAGCUUGCUCUCUCCUGGUGUGCUAUCCUGCACCUUAUUGACCUAAAGGCAUGCUGCAAGGCCCACUUGUUUAAGUGAGCUUUGAAGGGCUGGAGAGCUUCCCCACCUUCCUCCCUGUGGGCUGCUGCCAGCUCUUGAGGAAGGAGCGGUCUGUAGAAACAUCACUUGCUAAAAACAUCAUGAAAGAGAUAUAGAAGAGGCCUUUUAAAUAGGUAAAUCUAUCAAG